Molecule: long non-coding RNA, 1554 nt
Filed under: Capsicum annuum
Lineage: Eukaryota; Viridiplantae; Streptophyta; Magnoliopsida; Solanales; Solanaceae
Description: long non-coding RNA (CANN_LNC015349)
Source: RNAcentral
UACACACAAAAGUUUCUAGAAAAAUGGGGGAGACCAUUUUAUCUUGUUCUUUCUUUCUUCUUCUUGGCACCAAACACACACUCGAUCACACACACACAUUCAGUUCACCAUAAAACGUACUCCCUCACCGGAAAACAUACCCACACGAGCCCAUGGUAAGAAGAAAAUGAUGAAUAGGUGGCGUUUGACGGAGCUUCGGUGAAGAAGUAGGACCAACGAUGAGAAACAACUCUAUUCGAGCUUUGUUUUUUUGGUGACUUCAGCUCCGGAACCAAUAGCUGUUGUCAGUUUCAGCCGAAUCAAUCUUAUAAUCAUUGGAAUCUUGGUAUUUUUCCUUGAUUUAUAGGUAAAUCUAGCCAGAAAAUAUUUAAGGUGGAGGGACCGAAAUCCAUUAUUAGCUUUGAGUUUCCCGUUGUUGAUUGAACCAGCAUCGAUUUAUUCAUCUUUGUUUUGAAUUAAUUUCAUGAUAUUUUUUGGCGUACUGAUUUGGUUUUGUUCGAUUGGUUCCUCUGUUCUUGGCCCUUCGUUUAGCAUUGGUUUGGCGAAAUUCGGAUACUUUUUAGUCUCAUUCGUAUGGUUGCGGUCAGUUUAGGAUUGAUGUGUCUCUCUUCGAGUUGCUAUUCCUGAUAUUGAGUGGGCUGCAGAGUUUCAUUAUUGAGGUCGGUUCAACGUUUCGGACGUGGAUUCUAUCGAAAUUAAUCAAAUAAUACAUCGAUUUUGAAAGUGACUUUAAGGUCCAUUCUUCUUCCCAUUCUCAGUUAAUUUUAAUUGUGUGGUGUGGUAAAUUCAUGUUUUGUGGAUUUUAUUUUGUUGAUUUUGAUAUGUUUUGGAUCAUCGUGGUUGGUUGUUUAUAUCCAUCGAUUGGUUGUUGUGAACUGGAAUAAUCAAAGAAAUUAGACUCGAGUUGGGGUUAAAUCGUAAUUUAGGGUGAUAUCAAAGCCGGUUAAUUCACAAUUUUACUUAGUUUAUUUAAUUUGUCAUCUUGAUCGAUUUUGAUGUUGUUAAUCGUGGUAGUAGCGUGAUAAGUCGGAAGUAAUAAGAAAUCGUAAGUUGGGUAGGCAAAGUUUAGGAUUUGUGAUUGUUGAAUGAUGAAAUAUUUGUGGAAUGGUUUUGAUUUAUGCAUUGACAUCUAUUGUAUUUAUUUGGCUGGGGAAUGCCCAGAGAGAUUUGUAUUGAUUUAUCCGGGGAAUGCCCCAAAGUACCAUGUACUUGAAGAUGAUGCCCGAUCAAGGCCCGAAACGUUGGGUGGAGAAAGCAAUGGAGUGUAGUUUAAAAUUAGCAUAGAAUAGAGUAGGUUUAUAUUUUCACAUUUUUCUAUUUCGGGAUUGUAAUAAUCGGAUUGGACAUUAUAAUUUUGGAUUUGAUUUGUUUGUUUGUUUGAUUGAUUGUUUUGUGUGAUUUUCUGUGGUUUAUAUAUAUUCAUAAUGUCAAAUUAACCGAUACACUUCGCCAAGCGACCGUGGUCAAGCCACGGGAUCGAGGGGUGCCUAACACCUUCCCCUCGGUCAACAGAAUUCCUUAGCCGGAAUCUCUGUUCGCAGAUCAGUCUUUUAG